RNAcentral lists this ribosomal RNA (496 nucleotides) under uncultured bacterium. Its description in RNAcentral is "partial 16S ribosomal RNA". It matches the Rfam family "Bacterial small subunit ribosomal RNA", at positions 29 to 507 of the family's 1533-position model. The record is from RNAcentral.
AUGAACGCUGGCGGCGUGCCUAAUACAUGCAAGUCGAGCGAACAGACGAGGAGCUUGCUCCUCUGACGUUAGCGGCGGACGGGUGAGUAACACGUGGAUAACCUACCUAUAAGACUGGGAUAACUUCGGGAGACCGGAGCUAAUACCGGAUAAUAUAUUGAACCGCAUGGUUCAAUAGUGAAAGACGGUUUUGCUGUCACUUAUAGAUGGAUCCGCGCCGCAUUAGCUAGUUGGUAAGGUAACGGCUUACCAAGGCGACGAUGCGUAGCCGACCUGAGAGGGUGAUCGGCCACACUGGAACUGAGACACGGUCCAGACUCCUACGGGAGGCAGCAGUAGGGAAUCUUCCGCAAAGGGCGAAAGCCUGACGGAGCAACGCCGCGUGAGUGAUGAAGGUCUUCGGAUCGUAAAACUCUGUUAUUAGGGAAGAACAAAUGUGUAAGUAACUAUGCACGUCUUGACGGUACCUAAUCAGAAAGCCACGGCUAACUACGUG